RNAcentral lists this ribosomal RNA (407 nucleotides) under uncultured bacterium. RNAcentral's name for it is "partial 16S ribosomal RNA". It matches the Rfam family "Bacterial small subunit ribosomal RNA", at positions 28 to 526 of the family's 1533-position model. The record is from RNAcentral.
GACGAACGCUGGCGGCGUGCCUAAUACAUGCAAGUAGGACGCAGUUGCGAACGGGCGAGUAACGCGUAGGUAACUACCUAUUAGAGGGGGAUAACCAUUGGAAACGAUAGCUAAUACCGCAUACCAGCAGAAGGACCUGCUUUGUAUUAGCUAGUAGGUAGGGUAAUGGCCUACCUAGGCAACGAUACACAGCCGACCUGUGAGGGGGUUCGGCACCACUGGUACUGAGACACGGCCCAGACUCCGACGGGAGGCAGCAGGAGGGAAUCUUCGGCAAUGGGGGAAACCCUGACCGGGCAACGCCGCGUGAGUGAGGAAGGUUUUCGGAUCGUAAAGCUCUGUUGUUGAAGAAGCGGUACUUAACCAGAAAGGGACGGCUAACUACGUGCCAGCAGCCGCGGUAAUUC